This 87-nucleotide non-coding RNA is filed under the name Teredinibacter turnerae. RNAcentral describes it as "c-di-GMP sequence". It matches the Rfam family "c-di-GMP-I riboswitch aptamer". Rfam says of the family: GEMM was predicted in a large-scale screen for bacterial structured RNA regulatory elements. Genes associated with GEMM are involved in a diverse array of functions, including chemotaxis regulation, signal transduction, secretion and chitin. The record is from RNAcentral. RNAcentral also lists the same sequence under 1 other name. Lineage: Bacteria; Pseudomonadati; Pseudomonadota; Gammaproteobacteria; Cellvibrionales; Cellvibrionaceae.
CUGAUAAAAAGGCACGCUGACGCGAAAGCCCAGCACGCAAAAUUACCGGUCUAAGGACUCAAGGUCUACGACAGCGGGAUCGCCAGA